ACCAAUGCUAGCCCUAAACUAACCAACACUACUACCAAACUAACAUUUUCAUAUUAAACCAUUUACAAAUAUAAAAGUAUAGGUGAUAGAAAUUUAUUCUGGCGCCAUAGAUACAGUACCGCAAGGGAAAGAUGAAAAAAAAAUAAUUAAGUACAAAAUAGCAAGGACUCACCCCUAUACCUUCUGCAUAAUGAAUUAGCUAGAGAUCACUUCGCAAAGAGAACUGAAGUCAAGUACCCCGAAACCAGACGAGCUACCCAAAAACAGCUGAAAGAGCGCACCCGUCUAUGUAGCAAAAUAGUGGGAAGAUUUCUGGGUAGAGGUGAUACACCUAUCGAGUCUGGAGAUAGCUGGUUAUCCAAGAUAGAAUCUUAGUUCAACCUUAAGCUUACCCACAGAACCAUCAAUCCCCCUGUAAACUUAAUUGUUAGUCUAAAGAGGGACAGCUCUUUAGACACUAGGAAAAAACCUUAUACAGAGAGUAAAAAAUUCUAAAUCCAUAGUCGGCCUAAAAGCAGCCAUCAAUUAAGAAAGCGUUCAAGCUCAACACUAACUGCCUAAAAAAUACCAGACAUCUUACUGAACUCCUUACAUUACAUUGGAUUAAUCUAUCAUUUUAUAGAAGCAAUAAUGCUAGUAUUAGUAACAUGAAUAAAUUCUCCUAUGCAUAAGCCUAAAUCAGACCGAAAACUUCACCGAUACUUAACAGUUCAAUUCUAAUAAUCACAACCAAGCCAGUAUUACAUAAACUGUUAACCCAACACAGGCAUGCUUCCAAGGAAAGGUUAAAAUAAGUAAAAGGAACUCGGCAAACUUAACCCCGCCUGUUUACCAAAAACAUCACCUCUAGCAUUACUAGUAUUAGAGGCACUGCCUGCCCAGUGACAUCUGUUUAACGGCCGCGGUACCCUGACCGUGCAAAGGUAGCAUAAUCACUUGUUCUUUAAAUAGGGACUUGUAUGAAUGGCAACACGAGGGUUUAACUGUCUCUUACUUCCAACCAGUGAAAUUGACCUACCCGUGAAGAGGCGGGCAUACGACAAUAAGACGAGAAGACCCUGUGGAGCUUCAAUCUACUAAUGCAACCAAAAUUAAUACAAACCUACGGGUCUAACACACCCCACCCCUGCAUUAGAAAUUUUGGUUGGGGUGACCUCGGAGCAUAAUUAAACCUCCGAAUUAAACCACGCCAAGACUACACUAGUCAAAGCGACUUAAUAUUUUAUAAUUGAUCCAAUAACUUGACCAACGGAACAAGUUACCCCAGGGAUAACAGCGCAAUCCUAUUCCAGAGUCCAUAUCGACAAUAGGGUUUACGACCUCGAUGUUGGAUCAGGACAUCCUAAUGGUGCAGCAGCUAUCAAGGGUUCGUUUGUUCAACGAUUAAUAGUCCUACGUGAUCUGAGUUCAGACCGGAGAAAUCCAGGUCGGUUUCUAUCUAUUUCGCAUUUCUCCCUGUACGAAAGGACAAGAGAAAUGGGGCCCACUUCAUAAAGCGCCCUCCUUUCAUAAAUGACAUAAUCUCAAUUUAGCAAAAACCGCACACACACAACCCAAGAACAGGGAUU
Rhinopithecus bieti (black snub-nosed monkey) is the source of this 1568-nucleotide non-coding RNA. The record is from Ensembl. Lineage: Eukaryota; Metazoa; Chordata; Mammalia; Primates; Cercopithecidae.